Molecule: ribosomal RNA, 484 nt
Filed under: uncultured bacterium
Lineage: Bacteria
Description: partial 16S ribosomal RNA
Rfam family: Bacterial small subunit ribosomal RNA
Source: RNAcentral
AUUGAACGCUGGCGGCAGGCCUAACACAUGCAAGUCGAGCGGAUGAAGGGAGCUUGCUCCUGGAUUCAGCGGCGGACGGGGGAGUAAUGCCUAGGAAUCUGCCUGGUAGUGGGGGAUAACGUCCGGAAACGGGCGCUAAUACCGCAUACGUCCUGAUGGAGAAAGUGGGGGAUCUUCGGACCUCACGCUAUCAGAUGAGCCUAGGUCGGAUUAGCUAGUUGGUGGGGUAAAGGCCUACCAAGGCGACGAUCCGUAACUGGUCUGAGAGGAUGAUCAGUCACACUGGAACUGAGACACGGUCCAGACUCCUACGGGAGGCAGCAGUGGGGAAUAUUGGACAAUGGGCGAGAGCCUGAUCCAGCCAUGCCGCGUGUGUGAAGAAGGUCUUCGGAUUGUAAAGCACUUUUAGUUGGGAGGAAGGGCAGUAAGUUAAUACCUUGCUGUUUUGACGUUACCAACAGAAUAAGCACCGGCUAACUUCGUG